CCUUUCUGGUCCCAUUCCAAGAGAGAUAGGUGACCUAAGAAGAUUGAAGUUUCUUUACUUAUGGAGGAACAAACUUUCGGGAUCCAUACCUUUAGAGAUUGGGAGGCUAACCGAUCUUAUUGAAUUAAGAUUUUCUGAUAAUAAGUUGGUCGGGCAUAUUCCUGCUUCACUAGGAAACCUAAGCAGUCUAAAUGUUCUCUAUCUUGAUGGAAACCAAUUUUCAGGGUCCAUUCCUCCUCCUCUUGGAAAAUUAGGCAACUUAACAAAAUUGGGCAUCUCACGAAAUAACCUUUCCGGUCCCAUUCCAAGAGAGAUAGGUGACCUAAGAAGAUUGAAGUUUCUUUACUUAUGGAGGAACAAACUUUCAGGAUCCAUACCUUUAGAGAUUGGGAGGCUAACCGAUCUUUUUCAAUUAUAUUUUUCUGAAAAUAAGUUGAUCGGGUGUAUCCCUGCUUCACUAGGAAACCUAAGCAGUCUAAAUGUUCUCUAUCUUGACGAAAACCAAUUUUCAGGGUCCAUUCCUCCUUCUCUUGGAAAAUUAGGCAACUUAAGAAAUUUGAGCAUAGCAGCGAAUAACCUUUCUGGUCUCAUUCCAAGAGAAAUAGGUGACCUAAGAAGAUUGGAGUUUCUUUUCUUAUGGAGGAAUCAACUUUCGGGAUCCAUACCUUCAGAGAUUGGGAGGCUAACAGAUCUUUUUCAAUUAGAUUUUUCUGAAAAUAAGUUGAUCGGGCAUAUCCCUGCUUCACUAGGAAACCUAAGUAGUCUAAAUAUUCUCCAUCUUAGAGGAAACCAAUUUUCAGGGUCCAUUCCUCCUUCUCUUGGAAAAUUAGGCAACUUAAGAAAUUUGAGCAUAGCAGCGAAUAACCUUUCUGGUCCCAUUCCAAGAGAAAUAGGUGACCUAAGAAGAUUGGAGUUUAUUUUCUUAUGGAGGAAUCAACUUUCGGGGUCCAUACCUUCAGAGAUUGGGAGGCUAACUGAUCUUUUUCAAUUAGGAUUUUCUGAUAAUAAGUUGGUCGGGCAUAUCCCUACUUCACUAGGAAACCUAAGCAGUCUAAAUGUUCUCUAUCUUGAUGGAAACCAAAUUUUAGGGUUCAUUCCUCCUUCUCUUGGAAAAUUAGGCAAUUUAAGAAAUUUGAGCAUAGCAACGAAUAACCUUUCUGGUCCCAUUCCAAGAGAGAUAGGUGACCUAAGAAGAUUGAAGUUUCUUUACUUAUAUAUGAACAAACUUUCGGGAUCCAUACCUUCAGAGAUUGGGAG
Molecule: long non-coding RNA, 1257 nt
Filed under: Eucalyptus grandis
Lineage: Eukaryota; Viridiplantae; Streptophyta; Magnoliopsida; Myrtales; Myrtaceae
Description: long non-coding RNA (EGRA_LNC006510)
Source: RNAcentral